This 253-nucleotide ribosomal RNA is filed under the name uncultured bacterium. Its description in RNAcentral is "partial 16S ribosomal RNA". It matches the Rfam family "Bacterial small subunit ribosomal RNA", at positions 524 to 776 of the family's 1533-position model. The record is from RNAcentral.
UACGGGGGGGGCAAGCGUUGUUCGGAAUUACUGGGCGUAAAGGGCUCGUAGGCGGCCAACUAAGUCGGACGUGAAAUCCCCAGGCUCAACCUGGGAACUGCGUCCGAUACUGGAUGGCUUGAAUCCGGGAGAGGGAUGCAGAAUUCCAGGUGUAGCGGUGAAAUGCGUAGAUAUCUGGAGGAACACCAGAGGCGAAGGCGGCGACCUGGACAGUUACUGACACUCAACUACGAAAGCGUGGGGAGCAAACAGG